GUCAGCCUGAAGUAAUGCAGUUGUAGUUACAGUUUGUACAGAAUUUUUGGGAUACCUGAGGAUAAAAGGCGCUAUACAAAUGGCACAAUGCCUAUGUUAUAUAGGUACCAAGCAGAAGUUGGAGAGGAAAAGGAAAGUUCUUUCUGAAAAAGCAGCAAUGCUGGAAUGUGCUGUGGAGGCUCAGAUUGUUUUUCAGCUCUAGAGGCAUGUAUGAUUUCUAAUGGGAAAGAAUGAA
Molecule: long non-coding RNA, 235 nt
Filed under: Cyanistes caeruleus (blue tit)
Lineage: Eukaryota; Metazoa; Chordata; Aves; Passeriformes; Paridae
Description: lncRNA (ENSCCEG00000017318.1)
Source: RNAcentral